Molecule: ribosomal RNA, 449 nt
Filed under: uncultured bacterium
Lineage: Bacteria
Description: partial 16S ribosomal RNA
Rfam family: Bacterial small subunit ribosomal RNA
Source: RNAcentral
UAGCCAGACUCCUACGGGAGGCAGCAGUGGGGAAUAUUGCACAAUGGGGGGAACCCUGAUGCAGCGACGCCGCGUGGGUGAAGGAGUAUUUCGGUAUGUAAGGCCCUAUCAGCAGGGAAGAACAAUGACGGUACCUGACUAAGAAGCACCGGCUAAAUACGUGCCAGCAGCCGCGGUAAUACGUAUGGAGCAAGCGUUAUCCGGAUUUACUGGGUGUAAAGGGAGCGUAGGCGGCCUGCCAAGUCUGAUGUGAAAUACCGGGGCUCAACCCCGGGGCUGCAUUGGAAACUGGCAGGCUGGAGUGUCGGAGAGGCAGGCGGAAUUCCUAGUGUAGCGGUGAAAUGCGUAGAUAUAAGGAAGAACACCAGUGGCGAAGGCGGAUGACUGGACGGCAACUGACGGUGAGGCGCGAAAGCGUGGGGAGCAAACAGGAUUAGAUACCCCGGUAG